UGAGCAAUCUGCCCUUCUCAUCGGAAUAAGCGUUGGAAACGACGUCUAAUGCCGAAUACGACCUCCUUUCGCAUGAUCGGAGGUGGAAAGCUCCGGCGGAGAAGGAUGAGCUCGCGGCCUAUCAGCUAGUUGGUGUGGGUAAUGGCCCACCAAGGCGACGACGGGUAGCCGGCCUGAGAGGGUGACCGGCCACACUGGGACUGAGACACGGCCCAGACCUCCUACGGGGAGGCAGCG
Molecule: ribosomal RNA, 237 nt
Filed under: uncultured bacterium
Lineage: Bacteria
Description: partial 16S ribosomal RNA
Rfam family: Bacterial small subunit ribosomal RNA
Source: RNAcentral